AUUAUAGUGGCGCACGGGUGAGUAAUACAUAGGAACGUACCUAUAGGUGGGGAAUAACCAUUGGAAACGAUGGCUAAUACCGCAUGAAGUCGCAAGACCAAAGAGGGCCUCUUCUUGAAAGCUCUCGCCUGUAGAUCGGCUUAUGUCCCAUUAGCUUGUUGGUGAGGUAAAGGCUCACCAAGGCAACGACGGGUAGCCGGCCUGAGAGGGCGACCGGCCACACUGGGACUGAGACACGGCCCAGACUCC
RNAcentral lists this ribosomal RNA (249 nucleotides) under uncultured bacterium. RNAcentral describes it as "partial 16S ribosomal RNA". It matches the Rfam family "Bacterial small subunit ribosomal RNA", at positions 89 to 339 of the family's 1533-position model. The record is from RNAcentral.